UGGCGGCAGGCCUAACACAUGCAAGUCGAGCGGUAGCACAAGAGAGCUUGCUCUCUGGGUGACGAGCGGCGGACGGGUGAGUAAUGUCUGGGAAACUGCCUGAUGGAGGGGGAUAACUACUGGAAACGGUAGCUAAUACCGCAUGAUGUCUUCGGACCAAAGUGGGGGACCUUCGGGCCUCACGCCAUCAGAUGUGCCCAGAUGGGAUUAGCUAGUAGGUGGGGUAAUGGCUCACCUAGGCGACGAUCUCUAGCUGGUCUGAGAGGAUGACCAGCCACACUGGAACUGAGACACGGUCCAGACUCCUACGGGAGGCAGCAGUGGGGAAUAUUGCACAAUGGGCGCAAGCCUGAUGCAGCCAUGCCGCGUGUAUGAAGAAGGCCUUCGGGUUGUAAAGUACUUUCAGCGAGGAGGAAGGCAUUGUGGUUAAUAACCGCAGUGAUUGACGUUACUCGCAGAAGAAGCACCGGCUAACUCCGUGCCAGCAGCCGCGGUAAUACGGAGGGUGCAAGCGUUAAUCGGAAUUACUGGGCGUAAAGCGCACGCAGGCGGUUGAUUAAGUCAGAUGUGAAAUCCCCGAGCUUAACUUGGGAACUGCAUUUGAAACUGGUCAGCUAGAGUCUUGUAGAGGGGGGUAGAAUUCCAGGUGUAGCGGUGAAAUGCGUAGAGAUCUGGAGGAAUACCGGUGGCGAAGGCGGCCCCCUGGACAAAGACUGACGCUCAGGUGCGAAAGCGUGGG
RNAcentral lists this ribosomal RNA (739 nucleotides) under Hafnia alvei. RNAcentral's name for it is "bacterial SSU rRNA". It matches the Rfam family "Bacterial small subunit ribosomal RNA", at positions 37 to 765 of the family's 1533-position model. The record is from RNAcentral. Lineage: Bacteria; Pseudomonadati; Pseudomonadota; Gammaproteobacteria; Enterobacterales; Hafniaceae.